AGAAGCUGUUCUUGUGGUGUGAGGUCUUGGUCCUGGGGAGAGGCUGGAAGAGUACAUGUCCGGGGUGAGAGGGGUCGGCUGCAAUCCUGGCUGCAUGUCUCCGGGUCCUGGACACGUACAAGUCCUGGAAUGAUGGGAGGCUGCAGCCGAUCACCUUCUCAGCGGAGUGGAUGACGCGCUGCAGCUUGGCCUUGUCCAAACCCACUAGAAGUCUAACUACAUGGUGACAGAGAGCCAGCAACCAAUCAGAGGAGAGAAAGAGUGUGAGCAUCAAAUGAAAUGCUGAAAGCUUUCAGGAGGUUGGACCCACGAACUGUAGGUGGUGCAAACGAUCUUGAUGUGAAUGUCGUAUUUGGAGAGAAUGUCAUUUAAGGUGCUGGCCAAAAUACUGAAUGUAUGCAAGCUUCUGUAGGUGAGUGCAGCAGAAGAAAUUUCAACACUUCUGAAGUUGACCCAGUGGACUAUGGAACUUUUCCUUUUCUAUCUGUCCCGCAAUCUAUUGUUGUCACUAUCCGUUUAAUUCCGGGCAUUGCAGCAGUUACUUUCUGCUUCAUUAUUGGAGUAGCCUCAAUUAUCUUUGAUUGUAAAGCAGGCUUGGUAAUGAGAGAAGUGCUAGGGAACAGAGCCUUA
This is a long non-coding RNA of Pangasianodon hypophthalmus (striped catfish), 630 nucleotides long. RefSeq lists it as uncharacterized. Lineage: Eukaryota; Metazoa; Chordata; Actinopteri; Siluriformes; Pangasiidae. The record is from RefSeq and is a predicted model, not a curated record. The transcript is spliced from 3 exons.